GAUGAACGCUGGCGGCGUGCUUAACACAUGCAAGUCGAACGGAAAGGCCAUGCUCUUGUGGGGUGCUCGUGUGGCGAACGGGUGAGUAACACGUGUGUAACAUGCCCCUAUCUUUGUGAUAUCUUCAGGAAACUCGGGCUAUUACCGCAUAGGAGCUCCUGCACCACGGUGGGGGUUGGUAAGUUGCGGCGGUGCGGGCUGGUCUCGCGGCUUAUCCGCUUGUUGGUGGGGUAGUGGAUUACAAAGGCUUUGACGGGUAGCCGGCCUGAGAGGGGGACCGGCGACAAUACUACUACGAUACGGCGCAGUAGGCUACGGGAGGCAGCAGUGGGAAAUAUUGCACAAUGGGCGGGAGCCUGAUGCAGCAACGCCGCGAGCGGGAUGACCGCCUUCGAGUUGUGAACCUCUUUCGCCGGAAACGAAGCGUGAGUGACGGUAAUGAGUAAAGAAGCACCGGCUAACUACGUG
Molecule: ribosomal RNA, 468 nt
Filed under: uncultured bacterium
Lineage: Bacteria
Description: partial 16S ribosomal RNA
Rfam family: Bacterial small subunit ribosomal RNA
Source: RNAcentral